This 3869-nucleotide long non-coding RNA is filed under the name Olea europaea subsp. europaea. Lineage: Eukaryota; Viridiplantae; Streptophyta; Magnoliopsida; Lamiales; Oleaceae. The record is from RNAcentral.
GUCAUUUUUGUCUUUUUACAUUUUAGCUAUUACUACACUGUCUAUAAAUAUCCAAUGUAUCACGCCAUUUUGAUGAACUGAAAAUACAGAAUUUUCCCGCCAUUUUUCAUUGUCUUCUUCAGCUCUUCCAUUGCAAAAUUAUCAUGGUAUCAGAGCAUUGAAGUUUAUUUUGGCAAUGGCAAGAGAGUUUAAUCAACAAGUAGAGGUUCAACAUCAGCCAACUCACGCUGAUCCGGCAGUCGAUCCUCAUGUUACGGACGAGAGUACUGGAGAUGCAAACAACAUUGUUAAUCGAUCGAUAAAUGAUCCUAACAGUCCUUAUUAUCUCCACUAUGGCGACAAUACAGGUAUGCAACUCAUAACUAUCAUGUUGUCUGAGGAUAAUUACACCACAUGGAGUCGUGCAGUUAUCAUAGCUCUCAGUGUCAAAAAUAAGGAAGGUUUUAUUGAUGGAUCCAUUACUAAACCUGCUGAGAAUGAUCUGAUCUAUGGUGCUUGGAGGCGAUGCAAUCAUGUGGUUUCUUCCUGGAUCAUAAAUUCCAUCCCAAAGGAACUUUAUCCAAGUGUGAUGCAUAAGGAUUCAGCUCGGCAGAUUUGGAUUGAAUUAAAAGAUCGCUACAGCCAAGGAAAUGGAUCUCGAAUUUAUGAGAUAAAGAAGCAAAUUGCUUCAAUUUCUCAGGACAAUAACUCCAUCAAUUCUUACUUCAAUCGGUUUAAAGGCCUAUGGGAAGAAUUGGACAAUUAUAGGCCGGAGGUAAGUAGUGCAGACUACAAAACUGAAGAUCAAGUUAUGCAAUUCCUAAUGGGUCUAGAUGAUCGAUUUUCCAGUGUGAGAAGCCAAAUUUUAUUAAUGGAUCCACUACCUUCACUCAACAAGGUGUUUGCCUUAGUCCUACAAGAUGAAAGGCAGAAAGGAAUUGUUGCUAAGAAACAUCAGAAUUUCGAUGUAGCAGCCUUUGCCAACAAGGUUAUGUCUAAUCCAUAUGGAAAUCAGAGGCACAAUGUAUCCAAUCAAAUUCAAAGGAAAGGAAUGCCUAUAUGUACUUAUUGUGGAAUGUUAGGCCAUCUCAGGGGGAAAUGCUACAAAUUGGUUGGAUAUCCCCCUGGACAUAGGCUUGCCAAAGGGAAACCUUCAGUUGCCAAUGCUGUAGGUCAGGCUUCCCAGGCAAACAAUUCAGAGCUGAUCAAUUCUUUGUCCAACCUCACUAUCACACCAAGCCAACGCCAGCAGAUUAUGACCGUGCUUGCUCCACAGCUGCAAGGUCAACAACUUCAGGAGGUUAUGUCUUCUUCUACACAUACACCUGAUGCCUUUGCAUUUUCAGGUAAUCGAGCAUGUCAUCUGAAUCCAGGUAAAUGGAUUAUUGAUACUGGGGCUUCGGAACAUAUGGUGUGUUCCAUUAAUCAAUUGACUGUUGUGACCAGUAAAACUAAAGGUUCAGUAAGAUUACCAAAUGGGGAUAUUGCACAAGUCACACACAUUGGUAUUGUGAAGCUAUCUGAUGCAUUAACCUUAACUGAUGUAUUAGUUGUGCCAAGCUUCAACUUCAAUCUGAUUUCUGCCAGCAAUCUUGUUAUCAAACAUAGAUGUUUGUUGUUAUUCUUACAUCACUUUUGCUUCAUUCAGGAUCUUUUCACCUGGAAGACGAUUGGGGUAGGGAAACUUGAAGAUGGUUUAUAUCAUUUCCAAGGUUCUGAUAAUCAACUCAAUGGGCAGCUCUCUUCCACUUCUCAAAGUGUCCCAACAAAGCCUAUCCUUCCUGUUCUCAAUAAUGUAACUUCCUUCACUGAUGUACAAGUCCCCACUCCACAUCUUGAUUGUAAUAAUUCUGAUCCUGCUGUAUGUAAUUUUCCAUGUAAAAGGGACAUUCAUACUAACAUUGAUAUAUGGCAUUGUCGAAUGGGACAUAUUCCUACUUCCAAACUAUCACUUUUGCAUAAAAUUGUUCCUACAAUCACUUUUGAUCAACAUUUGCAUUGUACCAUUUGUCCUACAGCAAAACAACAUAGGCUACCUUUUCCUAAAAGUGACACCAGAAGUUCGAAAAUAUUUGAUCUUAUACACUGUGACAUCUGGGGACCACAUUCUAUUCCCACCUUAGAUGGUUCGAAAUACUUCUUGACCAUCGUUGAUGAUUAUAGCCGGAUGACAUGGACAUAUCUUAUGAAAGAAAAAUCUCAAACUAGGUCCAUCAUCCAAUCAUUUUACAAUCUGAUCCAAACACAUUUCCAUUGUAGUUUAAAAACCUUAAGAUCAGACAAUGGAUCUGAGUUUCACAUGCAUGACUUCUACCUUUCCAAGGGAAUGUUGCAUCAGUUAAGUUGCGUUGAAACACCCCAACAAAAUGGGGUUGUCGAAUGCAAACACCAACAUUUACUUAAUGUAGCUCGUGCCAUAAAAUUCCAAGCCAAUUUACCUGCCCAGUUCUGGGGAGACUGCAUAUUAACUGCCACACACCUUAUCAAUCGAACUCCUACUACUAUCCUUGGAAACAAAUCUCCCUUUGAAAUGUUAUACCAAGAAAAACCAUCUUACAGCCAUCUAAGGGUCUUUGGAUGCCUUUGUUAUACAUCCACUCUAAAAAGAAAUAGAACAAAAUUUGAUCCAUGAGCCAAGCCUUGUAUAUUUCUUGGAUACCCCCAUGGCAUGAAGGCCUAUAAAUUGUAUGAUCUUCAAUCCUAUUCCAUCAUUGCUUCAAGAGAUGUCAUAUUUCAUGAAAAUAUAUUUCCAUUUCGUAAUUCAGAUUUCCUAAAAUCUUUAUCAAAUUCCAGUAUUUCCCUUGAAGCUGAUCAGUCUCUAUUUUAUCCACAUUCUUAUCCUUCAGAUGACAUCCCAUCCUUCCCAUCUGCUCAUAUCCCAGUAACUCACUCUAAUCAUCACUCCCCAAUAUCAGAUGUUUCUCUCCUGGUUUUUCUUCUAGUACUCAAGAAUCCAGUUUUGAUCAUCAUUCUCCUGUGAUAAAUUCUGAUUCAUCAACUCCUGUCAUUCGAAAAUCUAACAGAACCAAACACCCUCCUUCAUAUCUUCAUGAUUACCAUUGUAGUUUGGUGUCUCAGAAGCCUUAUUCCCAAUCUGAUUCUUUGGUGAAAGGUUCUGCAUCUAGUAAACAGUACCCCAUUUCAGAUUAUUUGGGCUACAAUAUGCUAUCUGCUCCUCAUAGAAAAUACGCACUGGCUCUUUCCACUGUUUAUGAGCCUCAGUCUUAUGCUGAAGCAUCACAACAUCAGGAUUGGUGCAAGGCUAUGGAUACUGAAUAUCAAGCACUUGUGUCCAAUAAUACUUGGACUGUCACUAAGCUGCCUUCCCACAAGACACCAAUAGCUUGUAAAUGGGUGUUUAAGGUCAAGCUUCAUGCAGAUGGUUCGAAGGAAAGAAAGAAGGCUCAGCUUGUAGCCAAAGGAUUCACACAGCAGGCUGGGUUGGACUAUGAGGAAACCUUUUCACCGGUUGCAAAACUGGUCAUAGUAAAAACCUUGUUGGCUGUUGCGGCACAGAAAUGUUGGCACCUUCAUCAGCUGGAUAUCAAUAAUGCAUUUUUGCAUGGUGAUCUCGAUGAGCAAGUAUAUAUGCUUAUGCCUCCGGGAUAUGAGAAGCAGGGGGUGGAUGGAGAGCGGCUAGUUUGCAAACUAAACAAGUCCAUUUAUGGACUUAAGCAAGCGUCGAGGCAAUGGAAUGCAAAAUUGACUGCAUACAUUCUAUCAAAGGGGUUUAGACAAUCAAAAUCAGAUUAUUCGUUAUUUUGUAAGGAGAAAGGCAGCUCAUUUACGGUUCUCCUCAUAUAUGUAGAUGACAUAAUUAUAGGAGGCAAUGAUCUGAAUGAUAUACAACAAUUCAAAAAGGAGUUGAAUGAUCAGUUCAAACUAAAAGA